This 72-nucleotide transfer RNA is filed under the name Bos taurus (domestic cattle). It matches the Rfam family "tRNA". From Rfam's summary of the family: Transfer RNA (tRNA) molecules are approximately 80 nucleotides in length. The record is from Rfam by way of RNAcentral. Lineage: Eukaryota; Metazoa; Chordata; Mammalia; Artiodactyla; Bovidae.
UCCCCUGUGGCUCAGUGGCAGAGAACCUGCCUGCCAAUGCAGGAGGCCCAGGUUCGAUCCCUGGCUGGGAAG